RNAcentral lists this long non-coding RNA (735 nucleotides) under Nicotiana benthamiana. Its description in RNAcentral is "long non-coding RNA (NBEN_LNC026464)". Lineage: Eukaryota; Viridiplantae; Streptophyta; Magnoliopsida; Solanales; Solanaceae. The record is from RNAcentral.
UUUAUAAUAUUAUAUAAUUACUAAUUUUCUAUCUUCUAAAUAAAGGAUCGCUACAAGAUCAAUUUGGAGUACACUUAGCCUUGCCACCGAAUGAGCAAGGUGAGCGACUGCCAUUUCAGACGAAGAAGAGAAGAUGAUAUGGUUGGAUACUGUCGGUGGUCCUAAAAAGGGGAUAGCAUACGGCCUUUCAGAUAAAUCGUUUCGGCGCUAUAGGGCUAGAUUGCAAGGUAUAGGGACUUCCCUCCAAGGCAAGGUGAUUGAUAGUUUGGCUAUAUCCGCUAUGGAAGAGAAGAUCGCAAAGCUGACAGCAGAGCUUCAAUAGACCAAGGCUAGUAAAAAGAAUAGAUUUGAUAUCCUUCACGGUCAGCUAGAAAGGAGGGACAAACAAUUUGAUCUCCUUCAAGGUUAGCUGGCCAAUCUUCUUGCUUGUAGUGCUUUCCCCAUUCCUCGGUCUCCUCCUCCUUCCCCACUUGCCAGCGAUGAAAGUCCUACAACCCGAAGAUGGAAAUGAUUGUCCUAUGAUCGAAAAUGGAGAUGAUGCUACAUAAAAAAAACUCAUUGAAUAUUGUGUAUUGUCAAAACAAAGUUGUGAACUUGUUAAUAUUUUGUUGUUGGUUAUUUGAAUGAUGAUUAUAUUGUUAUUUUNNNUUAUUGUGUAUUGUCAAAACAAAGUUGUGAACUUGUUAAUAUUUUGUUGUUGGUUAUUUGAAUGAUGAUUAUAUUGCUAAUUUAUUA